AAUAUUGGACAAUGGGCGAAAGCCUGAUCCAGCCAUGCCGCGUGUGUGAAGAAGGUCUUUGGAUUGUAAAGUCCUUUAGGUUGGGUGGAGGUGCAGUGAAUUACUACUUUGCUGUUUUGUCGUUCCCGACAGACUAAACACCGGCUAACUCUGUGCCAGCAGCCGCGGUAAUACAUAGGGUGCAAGCGUUAAUCGGAAGUACUGGGCGGAAAGCGGGCGUAGUUGGUUUGUUAAGUAGGAGGUGAGAUCCCCGGGCUCAACCUGGGAACUGCAUCCAAAACUGGCAAGCUAGAGUAUGGUAGAGGGUGGUGGAAUUUCCUGUGUUGCGGUGAAAUGCGUAGAUAGAGGAAGGAACACGAGUGGCGAAGGCGACCACCUGGACUGAUACUGACACUGAGGUGCGAAAGCGUGGGGAGCAAACA
This 422-nucleotide ribosomal RNA is filed under the name uncultured bacterium. RNAcentral describes it as "partial 16S ribosomal RNA". It matches the Rfam family "Bacterial small subunit ribosomal RNA", at positions 360 to 774 of the family's 1533-position model. The record is from RNAcentral.